Molecule: long non-coding RNA, 201 nt
Filed under: Elaeis guineensis (African oil palm)
Lineage: Eukaryota; Viridiplantae; Streptophyta; Magnoliopsida; Arecales; Arecaceae
Description: long non-coding RNA (EGUI_LNC074194)
Source: RNAcentral
UCAGUAGUACAAAAAUAAUUUUUAUACUAAUCGAUGUAACCAUCUAGCAAUGAGACCCGACAUUCGGAUAAGCCGAAUGUAUGUCCAGCAAUACUCUAGAACCCAUAUAGAUAUAGUUAUCGUAUAAUUUAUCCUUUUGACACUUGAUGCUCAAGGAUGACUAAGGGUAAACUGUCAAACCAGGAAGAGUGGUCCACAUUG